CAGUCGCCGCGGUAAUGCAGAGGAUGCAAGCGUUAUCCGGAAUGAUUGGGCGUAAAGCGUCUGUAGGUGGCUUUUCAAGUCCGCUGUCAAAUCCCAGGGCUCAACCCUGGACAGGCGGUGGGAACUACCAAGCUGGAGUACGUUAGGGGCAGAGGGAAUUUCCGGUGGAGCGGUGAAAUGCGUUGAGAUCGGAAAGAACACCAACGGCGAAAGCACUCUACUGGGCCGACACUGACACUGAGAGACGAAAGCUAGGGGAGCAAAUGGGAUUAGAUACCCGCGUAGUCCCUGUCUCUUAUAC
RNAcentral lists this ribosomal RNA (301 nucleotides) under uncultured bacterium. Its description in RNAcentral is "partial 16S ribosomal RNA". It matches the Rfam family "Bacterial small subunit ribosomal RNA", at positions 509 to 807 of the family's 1533-position model. The record is from RNAcentral.